RNAcentral lists this non-coding RNA (61 nucleotides) under unclassified sequences. RNAcentral's name for it is "cow-rumen-1 RNA". It matches the Rfam family "cow-rumen-1 RNA". From Rfam's summary of the family: cow rumen metagenome. Environment (Cow rumen (57)) The record is from Rfam by way of RNAcentral.
CCAGUGGUAGUUGAGUUCGGACUUAACAACGUAAAUCCACCGCCCGACACGAUCGAAGAGG